Molecule: ribosomal RNA, 439 nt
Filed under: uncultured bacterium
Lineage: Bacteria
Description: partial 16S ribosomal RNA
Rfam family: Bacterial small subunit ribosomal RNA
Source: RNAcentral
CUACGGGGCGCAGCAGUGGGGAAUUUUGCGCAAUGGGCGAAAGCCUGACGCAGCAAUACCGCGUGAGUGAAGAAGGCCUUUGGGUCGUAAAGCUCUUUUAUUGGGGAAGAUAGUGACGGUACCCAAUGAAUAAGCACCGGCUAACUCCGUGCCAGCAGCCGCGGUAAUACGGAGGGUGCAAGCGUUGUUCGGAUUUACUGGGCGUAAAGGGCACGUAGGCGGCAUAGCAAGUUAAGGGUGAAAUCCCGGGGCUCAACUCCGGAACUGCUCUUAAAACUGCUAAGCUAGAGAUAGUCAGAGGCGGGUAGAAUUCCUGGUGUAGAGGUGAAAUUCGUAGAUAUCAGGAGGAAUACCGGAGGCGAAGGCGGCCCGCUGGGGCUAUUCUGACGCUAAGGUGCGAAAGCGUGGGGAGCGAACGGGAUUAGAUACCCGCGUAGUC